UUUACGAUUCAAUUACGACGAAAUAUUUUCGUGUUCUUUAUGUUUUUACUACGACGAAUAUAUUUAGAGGUUUUUGCGGGUCUUUUACGACGAAUCCUUUUCGAGUUUAUUACGAGGAAGCACAACGACCGCGUUACGUGGAAAGCCCACGUGGUCUUUACGAGGAAAACUUAAUUCUUCUUUACGAGGAAAAUAUAACCUCGCUAAUGGACGAGGAAAUGGCGACGAAUCUUCUCUUACGACAAACGUAUAACGACGAAAUGCCUUUUAUCGCCAUUUCCUCGUAACUCUUCUUUUACGAGGAAAUAACGACGAUUUUGGCCGUCGUUAAAUUUGUGUUUUCUUGUAGUGAAUCCGUUGCAAACGUAACUUGAAAUUGACGUAAGUUCCUCAUACAUUCCAGUGCCCAUAGUAGUGCUUCUAUCUCCACAUGAAGAGGAAAGAGACUAGCCCGAACAUUCCUCGCCCCCAUCAGCCCAUCAAGUUCUUCUAAAGUGCUGAGUCAACCCUGUCCGGAGAAAAUAUCAUUCUCUUUCCAGGAACCAUAUGUGAAACACCAUCUUCCGGGAAUUGACGGUAAAGUCGUAACCUCUACGUGUGGUACUGUCCUCUGUUCGUUCAAUAUAUGUGUCUUAGCCCAGAGUGUUGAUUCUGUUUCUGUCAAUUUAAGCGUGUCCCUAGGAUCAAUAUCCAGAUUACUAAAAACUUUAUUAUUUAUUCCUUUCCAAAUGUACCAUACUCAUUCUUACUAUUAUAAUAGCUAAAUAUAAAUGAGUUAAAAUCAUUAAAUAAAUUAAAAAAACUAGAGAUUGUGAUUUUGGUCAAAAUAGAUCCUUUUAUAUCGGAAUCUGAAAAUAUACAUAGCUUAAAUUAGACAUAUUUUAAUUUGUGAUUCAUCUAUAAAUGUACUUCUCUGACUUUUUAACUUUUAAAACACCAUUAUUUCAUUAUCAAAGAUGAAAGUUGCUUUCAAACAUAGGUUUAUUGGUUUCGUUAUCCUCACAGUUCUUCUGCUUGGAGAAACGACAAUUGCUCAGAAAGGAAAAGGUGUUAACCAAUGUAAUGAAACAUUACAAAACAAAAAAGGAACAUGUGAUGCCAACCAAUGUAAAGCCGCAUGUACCAAAAAACAUAAAGUAGGGCAAGGUAUGUGCACAAA
Molecule: long non-coding RNA, 1159 nt
Organism: Brassica napus (rape)
Lineage: Eukaryota; Viridiplantae; Streptophyta; Magnoliopsida; Brassicales; Brassicaceae
Exons: 2
Source: RefSeq, a predicted model, not a curated record